GGAGCGGUAUCAAAGCGGUCGUACUGAGGCGGUCUUGAAAACCGUUGUACCUUCGGGUACCGGGGGUUCGAAUCCCUCCCGCUCCG
Molecule: transfer RNA, 86 nt
Filed under: Treponema sp.
Lineage: Bacteria; Pseudomonadati; Spirochaetota; Spirochaetia; Treponematales; Treponemataceae
Description: tRNA-Ser
Rfam family: tRNA
About the family: Transfer RNA (tRNA) molecules are approximately 80 nucleotides in length.
Source: RNAcentral